CCUACGGGAGGCAGCAGUGGGGGAUAUUGCACAAUGGGGGGAACCCUGAUGCAGCGAAGCCGCGUGGGGGAAGAAGCGCCUAGGGGCGUACAGCCCUGUCAGCAGGGGAGAAAAUGACGGUACCUGAAGAAGAAGCCCCGGCUCACUACGUGACAGAAGCCGCGGCAAUACGGCGGGGGCCAGGGUUAACCGGAUUUACUGGGGGUAAAGGGGGGGCAGUGGGCGAUGAAAGCCAGGAGGUAAAGCCCGGGGCCCAACCCCGGGACUGCUCGUGGAACUGCGUGGCUGGAGUGCAGGAGGGGCAGGCGGAAUGCGUGGUGUAGCGGUGAAAUGCGUAGAUAUCAGGAGGAACACCGGUGGCGAAGGCGGCCUGCUGGACUGCAACUGACGUUGAGGCCCGAAAGCGUGGGGAGCAAACAGGAUUAGAUACCCCUGUAGUC
Molecule: ribosomal RNA, 440 nt
Filed under: uncultured bacterium
Lineage: Bacteria
Description: partial 16S ribosomal RNA
Rfam family: Bacterial small subunit ribosomal RNA
Source: RNAcentral